AUCCUCCCUCCCUCCACACGAGAACGCCUCCUGAACCAGAAGAACAUCAAUGGCUGGAUCACUGACGAACGAGAGGAGUCCGUCAAUGGCCGCCGCCUCGUGAUCUUCUCGUGGCCAUCCUCCGUCCAGAGGGAAUUCCGGGGAGCGGAUUCCGAUCAGCCGAUUUGCCCCCCGCCCGAUGGCGCGCCCGCCUGAAGAUCCCGAAACCCUAGAACCCGAC
This 220-nucleotide long non-coding RNA is filed under the name Eucalyptus grandis. Its description in RNAcentral is "long non-coding RNA (EGRA_LNC007741)". The record is from RNAcentral. Lineage: Eukaryota; Viridiplantae; Streptophyta; Magnoliopsida; Myrtales; Myrtaceae.